This 508-nucleotide ribosomal RNA is filed under the name uncultured bacterium. RNAcentral describes it as "partial 16S ribosomal RNA". It matches the Rfam family "Bacterial small subunit ribosomal RNA", at positions 28 to 507 of the family's 1533-position model. The record is from RNAcentral.
GACGAACGCUGGCGGCGUGCCUAAUACAUGCAAGUCGAGCGCUUCUUUCCUCCCGAGUGCUUGCACUCAAUUGGAAAGAGGAGUGGCGGACGGGUGAGUAACACGUGGGUAACCUACCCAUCAGAGGGGGAUAACACUUGGAAACAGGUGCUAAUACCGCAUAACAGUUUAUGCCGCAUGACAUAAGAGUGAAAGGCGCUUUCGGGUGUCGCUGAUGGAUGGACCCGCGGUGCAUUAGCUAGUUGGUGAGGUAACGGCUCACCAAGGCCACGAUGCAUAGCCGACCUGAGAGGGUGAUCGGCCACACUGGGACUGAGACACGGCCCAGACUCCUACGGGAGGCAGCAGUAGGGAAUCUUCGGCAAUGGACGAAAGUCUGACCGAGCAACGCCGCGUGAGUGAAGAAGGUUUUCGGAUCGUAAAACUCUGUUGUUAGAGAAGAACAAGGACGUUAGUAACUGAACGUCCCCUGACGGUAUCUAACCAGAAAGCCACGGCUAACUACGUG